CGGUGGUGAGCGGCGAACGGGUGAGUAACACGUAGGUGAUCUGCCCAUCAGACGGGGACAACGAUUGGAAACGAUCGCUAAUACCGGAUAGGACGAAAGUUUAAAGGUGCUUCUGGCACCGCUGAUGGAUGAGCCUGCGGCGCAUUAGCUAGUUGGUAGGGUAAAGGCCUACCAAGGCGACGAUGCGUAGCCGACCUGAGAGGGUGAACGGCCACAUUGGAACUGAGACACGGUCCAAACUCCUACGGGAGGCAGCAUG
RNAcentral lists this ribosomal RNA (259 nucleotides) under uncultured bacterium. RNAcentral's name for it is "partial 16S ribosomal RNA". It matches the Rfam family "Bacterial small subunit ribosomal RNA", at positions 86 to 353 of the family's 1533-position model. The record is from RNAcentral.